UUAAGCGACUAAGCGUACACGGUGGAUGCCCUGGCAGUCAGAGGCGAUGAAGGACGUGCUAAUCUGCGAUAAGCGUCGGUAAGGUGAUAUGAACCGUUAUAACCGGCGAUUUCCGAAUGGGGAAACCCAGUGUGUUUCGACACACUAUCAUUAACUGAAUCCAUAGGUUAAUGAGGCGAACCGGGGGAACUGAAACAUCUAAGUACCCCGAGGAAAAGAAAUCAACCGAGAUUCCCCCAGUAGCGGCGAGCGAACGGGGAGCAGCCCAGAGCCUGAAUCAGUGUGUGUGUUAGUGGAAGCGUCUGGAAAGGCGCGCGAUACAGGGUGACAGCCCCGUACACAAAAAUGCACAUGCUGUGAGCUCGAUGAGUAGGGCGGGACACGUGGUAUCCUGUCUGAAUAUGGGGGGACCAUCCUCCAAGGCUAAAUACUCCUGACUGACCGAUAGUGAACCAGUACCGUGAGGGAAAGGCGAAAAGAACCCCGGCGAGGGGAGUGAAAAAGAACCUGAAACCGUGUACGUACAAGCAGUGGGAGCACGCUUCGGCGUGUGACUGCGUACCUUUUGUAUAAUGGGUCAGCGACUUAUAUUCUGUAGCAAGGUUAACCGAAUAGGGGAGCCGAAGGGAAACCGAGUCUUAACUGGGCGUUAAGUUGCAGGGUAUAGACCCGAAACCCGGUGAUCUAGCCAUGGGCAGGUUGAAGGUUGGGUAACACUAACUGGAGGACCGAACCGACUAAUGUUGAAAAAUUAGCGGAUGACUUGUGGCUGGGGGUGAAAGGCCAAUCAAACCGGGAGAUAGCUGGUUCUCCCCGAAAGCUAUUUAGGUAGCGCCUCGUGAAUUCAUCUCCGGGGGUAGAGCACUGUUUCGGCAAGGGGGUCAUCCCGACUUACCAACCCGAUGCAAACUGCGAAUACCGGAGAAUGUUAUCACGGGAGACACACGGCGGGUGCUAACGUCCGUCGUGAAGAGGGAAACAACCCAGACCGCCAGCUAAGGUCCCAAAGUCAUGGUUAAGUGGGAAACGAUGUGGGAAGGCCCAGACAGCCAGGAUGUUGGCUUAGAAGCAGCCAUCAUUUAAAGAAAGCGUAAUAGCUCACUGGUCGAGUCGGCCUGCGCGGAAGAUGUAACGGGGCUAAACCAUGCACCGAAGCUGCGGCAGCGACGCUUAUGCGUUGUUGGGUAGGGGAGCGUUCUGUAAGCCUGUGAAGGUGUGCUGUGAGGCAUGCUGGAGGUAUCAGAAGUGCGAAUGCUGACAUAAGUAACGAUAAAGCGGGUGAAAAGCCCGCUCGCCGGAAGACCAAGGGUUCCUGUCCAACGUUAAUCGGGGCAGGGUGAGUCGACCCCUAAGGCGAGGCCGAAAGGCGUAGUCGAUGGGAAACAGGUUAAUAUUCCUGUACUUGGUGUUACUGCGAAGGGGGGACGGAGAAGGCUAUGUUGGCCGGGCGACGGUUGUCCCGGUUUAAGCGUGUAGGCUGGUUUUCCAGGCAAAUCCGGAAAAUCAAGGCUGAGGCGUGAUGACGAGGCACUACGGUGCUGAAGCAACAAAUGCCCUGCUUCCAGGAAAAGCCUCUAAGCAUCAGGUAACAUCAAAUCGUACCCCAAACCGACACAGGUGGUCAGGUAGAGAAUACCAAGGCGCUUGAGAGAACUCGGGUGAAGGAACUAGGCAAAAUGGUGCCGUAACUUCGGGAGAAGGCACGCUGAUAUGUAGGUGAAGCGACUUGCUCGUGGAGCUGAAAUCAGUCGAAGAUACCAGCUGGCUGCAACUGUUUAUUAAAAACACAGCACUGUGCAAACACGAAAGUGGACGUAUACGGUGUGACGCCUGCCCGGUGCCGGAAGGUUAAUUGAUGGGGUUAGCGGUAACGCGAAGCUCUUGAUCGAAGCCCCGGUAAACGGCGGCCGUAACUAUAACGGUCCUAAGGUAGCGAAAUUCCUUGUCGGGUAAGUUCCGACCUGCACGAAUGGCGUAAUGAUGGCCAGGCUGUCUCCACCCGAGACUCAGUGAAAUUGAACUCGCUGUGAAGAUGCAGUGUACCCGCGGCAAGACGGAAAGACCCCGUGAACCUUUACUAUAGCUUGACACUGAACAUUGAGCCUUGAUGUGUAGGAUAGGUGGGAGGCUUUGAAGUGUGGACGCCAGUCUGCAUGGAGCCGACCUUGAAAUACCACCCUUUAAUGUUUGAUGUUCUAACGUUGACCCGUAAUCCGGGUUGCGGACAGUGUCUGGUGGGUAGUUUGACUGGGGCGGUCUCCUCCUAAAGAGUAACGGAGGAGCACGAAGGUUGGCUAAUCCUGGUCGGACAUCAGGAGGUUAGUGCAAUGGCAUAAGCCAGCUUGACUGCGAGCGUGACGGCGCGAGCAGGUGCGAAAGCAGGUCAUAGUGAUCCGGUGGUUCUGAAUGGAAGGGCCAUCGCUCAACGGAUAAAAGGUACUCCGGGGAUAACAGGCUGAUACCGCCCAAGAGUUCAUAUCGACGGCGGUGUUUGGCACCUCGAUGUCGGCUCAUCACAUCCUGGGGCUGAAGUAGGUCCCAAGGGUAUGGCUGUUCGCCAUUUAAAGUGGUACGCGAGCUGGGUUUAGAACGUCGUGAGACAGUUCGGUCCCUAUCUGCCGUGGGCGCUGGAGAACUGAGGGGGGCUGCUCCUAGUACGAGAGGACCGGAGUGGACGCAUCACUGGUGUUCGGGUUGUCAUGCCAAUGGCACUGCCCGGUAGCUAAAUGCGGAAGAGAUAAGUGCUGAAAGCAUCUAAGCACGAAACUUGCCCCGAGAUGAGUUCUCCCUGACUCCUUGAGAGUCCUGAAGGAACGUUGAAGACGACGACGUUGAUAGGCCGGGUGUGUAAGCGCAGCGAUGCGUUGAGCUAACCGGUACUAAUGAACCGUGAGGCUUAACCUU
This 2904-nucleotide ribosomal RNA is filed under the name Escherichia coli. Its description in RNAcentral is "23S ribosomal RNA". It matches the Rfam family "Bacterial large subunit ribosomal RNA". The record is from RNAcentral. Lineage: Bacteria; Pseudomonadati; Pseudomonadota; Gammaproteobacteria; Enterobacterales; Enterobacteriaceae.